UGGCUUAGAAGCAGCCACUCAUUUAAAGAGUGCGUAAUAGCUCACUAGUCGAGUGACUCUGCGCCGAAGAUAAACGGGGCUAAAACUUACUACCGAAGCUUAGGAUACAGUAAUGUAUGGUAGAGGAGCAUUGUAUACGGGCAGAAGCCUAACUGGAAGGGAAGGUGGACUGUAUACAAGAGAGAAUGUUGGCAUGAGUAGCGUAAGGCAGGUGAGAAUCCUGCCCGCCGAAAAUCUAAGGUUUCCUGAGGAAGGUUCGUCCACUCAGGGUUAGUCGGGUCCUAAGCCGAGGGCGAGCGCCGUAGGCGAUGGACAACAGGUUGAUAUUCCUGUACCACCGAAAGUCGUUUGAGCGAAGUGGGGACACAGAAGGAUAAGUUGAGCACGCCGCUGGUAGAGCGUGUCUAAGCGUCAAGGGAGAUGAUAAAGGCAAAUCCGUAUCAUCAAUUCUGAGGCGUUAUGGGGAGGCCGCAAGGCUGGAAGCAACUGAUUUCACACUGUCAAGAAAAGCCGCUAGCGAGACCGUAGGUGCCCGUACCGCAAACCGACACAGGUAGAUGAGGAGAGAAUCCUAAGGUGAGCGAGAGAACUAUUGUUAAGGAACUCGGCAAAAUAACCCCGUAACUUCGGGAGAAGGGGUGCCUACGAAAGUAGGCCGCAGUGAAAAGUCCCAGGCGACUGUUUACCAAAAACACAGGUCUCUGCUAAAGCGAAAGCUGAAGUAUAGGGGCUGACGCCUGCCCGGUGCUGGAAGGUUAAGGGGAAGUGUUAGAGCAAUCGAAGCACAGAACUUAAGCCCCAGUAAACGGCGGCCGUAACUAUAACGGUCCUAAGGUAGCGAAAUUCCUUGUCGGGUAAGUUCCGACCCGCACGAAAGGCGUAACGAUUUGGGCACUGUCUCAACAAUAGACUCGGUGAAAUUGUAAUCCCGGUGAAGAUGCCGGGUACCUGCGACAGGACGGAAAGACCCCAUGGAGCUUUACUGUAGCUUGACGUUGGGUCUUGGUACUACAUGUACAGGAUAGGUGGGAGACUAUGAAGCAUGGACGCCAGUCUGUGUGGAGUCAUCCUUGGGAUACCACCCUUGUAGUACUGGGAUCCUAACCAUAGGCCUUGAAUCAGGUCUUGGAACACCGUCAGGUGGGCAGUUUGACUGGGGCGGUCGCCUCCUAAAAAGUAACGGAGGCGCUCAAAGGUUUCCUCAGCACGGUCGGAAAUCGUGCGAAGAGUGUAAAGGCAAAAGGAAGCUUGAUUGCAAGACAUACAGGUCGAGCAAGGACGAAAGUCGGACUUAGUGAUCCGGUGGUACCGCAUGGAAGGGCCAUCGCUCAACGGAUAAAAGCUACCCUGGGGAUAACAGGCUUAUCUCCCCCAAGAGUCCACAUCGACGGGGAGGUUUGGCACCUCGAUGUCGGCUCAUCACAUCCUGGGGCUGUAGUAGGUCCCAAGGGUUGGGCUGUUCGCCCAUUAAAGUGGUACGCGAGCUGGGUUCAGAACGUCGUGAGACAGUUCGGUCCCUAUCCGUCGCAGGCGUAGGAAAUUUGAGAAGACCUGUCCUUAGUACGAGAGGACCGGGAUGGACGUACCUCUGGUGUACCAGUUGUUCUGCCAAGGGCAUGGCUGGGUAGCUAUGUACGGAAUGGAUAAGCGCUGAAAGCAUCUAAGCGCGAAGCCAACUUCAAGAUAAGAUUUCCCACCGUAAGGGUAAGACCCCAGGAAGACUACCUGGUUGA
RNAcentral lists this ribosomal RNA (1733 nucleotides) under human gut metagenome. RNAcentral's name for it is "bacterial LSU rRNA". It matches the Rfam family "Bacterial large subunit ribosomal RNA", at positions 1102 to 2856 of the family's 2925-position model. The record is from RNAcentral.